GCGCCCUUUGGCUAUUCUGAAGGGCAUGCCUGUUUGAGUAUCAUGAACACCUCAACUCUCAUGGUUUGCCAUGAUGAGCUUGGACUUUGGGGGUCUUGCUGGCCUACGGUUGGCUCCUCUUAAAUGAAUCAGCUUGCCAGUGUUUGGUGGCGUCACAGGUGUGAUAAAUAUCUACGCUUGUGGUUUUCCGCCAGGUAACCUUCAGCAAUGGAGGUUCGCUGGGGCUCACAAAUGUCUCUCCUCAGCGAGGACAGCUUUUAACGUUUGAUCUCAAAUCAGGUAGGACUACCCGCUGAACUUAAGCAUAUCAAUAAGCGGAGG
RNAcentral lists this ribosomal RNA (321 nucleotides) under uncultured Tomentella. Its description in RNAcentral is "eukaryotic LSU rRNA". The stretch from base 266 to 321 matches the Rfam family "Eukaryotic large subunit ribosomal RNA", at positions 1 to 56 of the family's 3401-position model. Lineage: Eukaryota; Fungi; Basidiomycota; Agaricomycetes; Thelephorales; Thelephoraceae. The record is from RNAcentral.